RNAcentral lists this long non-coding RNA (492 nucleotides) under Homo sapiens (human). RNAcentral's name for it is "non-protein coding lnc-OR52H1-1:3". Lineage: Eukaryota; Metazoa; Chordata; Mammalia; Primates; Hominidae. The record is from RNAcentral.
GUAGUCCUUUAGAGCCUCUGGACAGAAGGUCUGAUGAAUACAUGUAAAGCUUAUUGAGCCUCAGAACUCUAACUACAGGGUUUCAAUAGCACAGAAACUCUGAGAAGAAAAAGAAUGUCAAAGUUCCUCCCUAAGGAGACUGAUUAGAUGCAAGUGUGUCCGGAAUUGGUGGGUUCUUGGUCUGACUUCAAGAAUGAAGCCGCGGACCCUCACGGUGCUGCUGUUUUACUAAGAGGUAUAUGAAUAAUGGAAAUGCCUCCUGUAAUCCUAGCACUUUGGGAGGCCGAGGCGGGCGGAUCACCUGAGGUUGGGAGUUCGAGACCAGCCUGACCAACAUGGGGAAACCCCCUCUCUACUAAAAAUACAAAAUUAGCUGGGCGUGGUGGUCCAUGCCUGUAAUCCCAGCUACUUGGGAGGCUGAGGCAGGAGAAUCGCUUGAACCCAGGAGGCGGAGGUUGAGGUGAGCCGAGAUCAUGCCAUUGCACUGUAGCC